This 1099-nucleotide long non-coding RNA is filed under the name Theobroma cacao (cacao). RNAcentral's name for it is "long non-coding RNA (TCAC_LNC001124)". Lineage: Eukaryota; Viridiplantae; Streptophyta; Magnoliopsida; Malvales; Malvaceae. The record is from RNAcentral.
AUUAACGUACAUAAUCGUAAUACAUACAUUUUCAAACUUAUUACACAAUAAAGAAACUUCUCAACUUAAUUGUGUAAGCUCAACUUAAUUCAGUUAUAUGUGUAUUAAUAAGUGCCACUGUCAUAGUGCACGAUAACAUAAACAUUAAAUAUCACCAGCACCCUCGGGAGUCCAUAUAGGCUUUCGAGCCAUCAUCAUGAUCUCAUACAUAACAUUUUUCAUAUAAGAUGCCCAAAUAUUGGCAAUAUCAACAUAAACAUGUUCAUCAUCUAUAAACAUAACAUAACGUAAAGACCAACUCGUCAGCGGAACGUGAUCGACCCUCUAGGCAUCAAGUGGCUACUAGACACCUACCAAAGAAUAAAGACUGGACACUGGUAUCUGCAACACUAGCAGCUGUUAGACGUUGUCACUGAUCUAUAAUAAAAUAAAUUGAAAAAAUAAUGUGUGAGUCACAAAGACUUCAUGAGUGGAUACGGGAAGGGGACAAGCAAGGGGAUAAGAGUAUUUCAUAACCAUGCAUUUAUAAACUCAUGCCAUUCAUAACUUCUUAAUUAUAAAGUUCAUGAUACAUGUCAUUUAAACUCAUUUAAAUACCUCUCAUUUGAAAACAAACUUAUAUAACUUUAUAAAUCCUUUACUUUUAAAAUCUUCAUCAAAUUCACUCAAACAUCUUUUUCUGUACCAUAUCUAUCGAUAGAUUAUUGAAUGUAUUGAUACUUCAAGCAUCUAUCGAUUCAUUGGUAAAAUGUAUCGAUAUAUUUCACAUAAAAAGCCUCUUAUGGAAAUUUGUUUAGAAUGUAUCGAUACAUGCUCCAUAUGUAUCUAUAUUUUGAACAUAGAAACCAAUUUUCUAGACAAUUUCAACAUUUUUGCCAUUCCUUAAGUCCUCUUACAUCUUGGGAACUAUCUUUAAGGCUCAAUUCUUUUCACUAAGUACAUUCCCAUGCCAUCAUAAGGUAUAAACCAUAAACACUACUCAAAUGAACUCAACAUACAACAUACCAUAAACAUAACAAUCAUAAUCAUUUCAUUAACAUUAAAACUCACACAUUGUGAUGGUUUGAUGCGCAUCAACCUUAGGCUGACAGCGUAUAUC